This 253-nucleotide ribosomal RNA is filed under the name [Ruminococcus] lactaris ATCC 29176. RNAcentral describes it as "partial 16S ribosomal RNA". It matches the Rfam family "Bacterial small subunit ribosomal RNA", at positions 524 to 776 of the family's 1533-position model. The record is from RNAcentral. RNAcentral also lists the same sequence under 1 other name. Lineage: Bacteria; Bacillati; Bacillota; Clostridia; Lachnospirales; Lachnospiraceae.
UACGUAGGGGGCAAGCGUUAUCCGGAUUUACUGGGUGUAAAGGGAGCGUAGACGGCGAAGCAAGUCUGGUGUGAAAACCCGGGGCUCAACCCCGGGCCUGCAUUGGAAACUGUUUUGCUCGAGUGCCGGAGAGGUAAGCGGAAUUCCUAGUGUAGCGGUGAAAUGCGUAGAUAUUAGGAGGAACACCAGUGGCGAAGGCGGCUUACUGGACGGUAACUGACGUUGAGGCUCGAAAGCGUGGGGAGCAAACAGG